ACAAGCGGUGGAUGAUGUGGAUUAAUUCGAUGCAACGCGAAGAACCUUACUACCCUUGACAUGUCCGGAACUUGCCAGAGAUGGCUUGGUGCCCGAAAGGGAAUCGGAACACAGGUGCUGCAUGGCUGUCGUCAGCUCGUGUCGUGAGAUGUUGGGUUAAGUCCCGCAACGAGCGCAACCCUUGUCACUAGUUGCCAUCAUUUGGUUGGGCACUCUAGUGAGACUGCCGGUGACAAACCGGAGGAAGGUGGGGAUGACGUCAAGUCCUCAUGGCCCUUAUGGGUAGGGCUUCACACGUCAUACAAUGGUCGGUACAGAGGGUUGCCAAGCCGCGAGGUGGAGCCAAUCCCUUAAAGCCGAUCGUAGUCCGGAUCGUAGUCUGCAACUCGACUCCAUGAAGUUGGAAUCGCUAGUAAUCGCGGAUCAGCACGCCGCGGUCGAAUACGUUCCCGGGCCUU
Molecule: ribosomal RNA, 458 nt
Filed under: uncultured Rhodocyclaceae bacterium
Lineage: Bacteria; Pseudomonadati; Pseudomonadota; Betaproteobacteria; Rhodocyclales; Rhodocyclaceae
Description: bacterial SSU rRNA
Rfam family: Bacterial small subunit ribosomal RNA
Source: RNAcentral